RNAcentral lists this long non-coding RNA (523 nucleotides) under Citrus x clementina. RNAcentral describes it as "Citrus clementina (C. clementina) long non-coding RNA (CCLE_LNC001319)". The record is from RNAcentral. Lineage: Eukaryota; Viridiplantae; Streptophyta; Magnoliopsida; Sapindales; Rutaceae.
AUAAAAGCGCCAAAUCACAGGGUCGAUAGUUGAUACAUGGCUCAUCAUCAUAAGUUACAUUUCAUCCCUCGUCGCCUCUGUGUAAUAAAAGCUCAUACAGGCUGGCUUCUGCUGCUCUGCUCGACACAUAUAUGUUCAAUCAGCAAAAACAAAAGCAAGGAACCAAUAAGUAGCUGAAAUUUAAGAAUAACAAAAGGGAAUGUGACAUGCAGUUAUAGAAAUUCACUGGCAGAUCAGUAAGCUGUCAAAUACCUGUUGAUGUAGGAGAGUCCAAUGUAAAAAGAGGUUAAAAAAAAUUGAGAAACCACAAGGGAAGAUAAUCCUAGCUAUAGAGAACUAGGCCUCCCAAGCUGAUCUAAUGAUACUGAAGUAAAUAUGUAUACCUAGUACAGUGGCGUUUUUCUCUCAGUUCUUGUACUUCAUGGUUUCCUUUUCAAACCCAAUUGUGGGGAACUGCUUUGCAUACUCCUCAACAUCAUGGCGAAGUUUCGCAAUCUCGGAUUGGAAGUUAGCGGACUGUGUU